ACGGAUGGGUACAGGACCUUGAAAUGCACCGUGUAGAAUGAAAGACCAUGGUACAAACAAAGAUAAUCCGGAUACACCACAUGCCCCAAACCAAGAGCAGAACCAACCAAGUUCUUCAGAUGAUCCAAUGAUCCCGAGAUUGUCCUGUAACCAGCGGACCACAGCUCCAGCGAUGGCCACAGAGCCCUGACAGCAAAGAGCAGGAAAACAAAAACAAUACAUAAUCAGAUUACCUGUCAAUUCAGGGAUACUCACAUUUCUGUAUCCUUUUUGGAAGACUAAACGGGCCAAAUAAAUAAAUAGCUCACUCAAUAAAUACGAAAAUUAACACUACAUGACAGUAAAUCUAAACUAAAAACUUAGGUGUAAAAAAAAAUAAUUUUUUUUUAGCUAACUAAAAUAAAAAUGUCCUUGGUUUUUGUUAACUUAAUUUAUUUACAAAGUCAGUCAUGUGUUUUUGAUUUUGGCAGUUUUUGUCCUCCAUACUUAAGAAAAGAGCUGAAGGAUUAGAGAGAAUAUUAUGAAAGUGGGCGUUAUCGUUUUGAUGUUUAUGUCAAAUAUCACUUUAUUUAUAUAUACACUGUAUAUACUGUAUCGUCUUGAUGCAUUCUCAAUCAUCCAGGAAAGUAAAUCUCCAAAAGUUGAA
Long non-coding RNA from Oreochromis aureus, 646 nucleotides. RefSeq lists it as uncharacterized. The transcript is spliced from 2 exons. Lineage: Eukaryota; Metazoa; Chordata; Actinopteri; Cichliformes; Cichlidae. The record is from RefSeq and is a predicted model, not a curated record.